This is a small nucleolar RNA of Dicentrarchus labrax (European seabass), 83 nucleotides long. Ensembl annotates it as small nucleolar RNA, C/D box 11B. The record is from Ensembl. NCBI's taxonomy places the organism in Eukaryota, Metazoa, Chordata, Actinopteri, Moronidae.
GCCAAGCGGUGAUGAUGACGACGUUAUGUCAUUCUCCUGAUAAAGACUGAUGUUUUUAAGUCACUACCUCAUCUGAGCUUGCG